AACACCCAAUCCUAACUUGCUGUCUCCCAUAGCUGGCUGCCUUCCUGCUGCCAUUGUCUUACCAGCCCCAGGCAGCCUGUAUGCUUUUUAAAGAUUGGGCCCCACACACAGCUCAUCCACUCUAAUCACUACCCUAUCCAAUCAGAAGCUGCAUUGCUCUCAUUUCAAAGGACCCCUUGCUAGGAAGCAGGGGCUGACACACCUAACUUGAUGGCAAGUUCCCAGCACAGAAAGUGCUUCUCUUUUGCCCCCCCCGCCCCAAAAGUUGAUCAAUAAUACAAUAGAAGUGCCCCAGAGAUACUAUCCAGCAGCUUAACUUCCUUAAUCUCCCAGCUGUCUUUGUCUCACCAGCCACUUGUCUAGCAGUGCAGAAACUAGGGGCCUGGACUAUUAGAUAAGUUAAGGCUAAUAUAAAAAUAAGUAGAAACAAAUGUUUACAGUACACAAGUUUCAUAAAAUCGCAGAUCAAUCUCUGUUCCUCUAUAUAUUGUGGGUCUGAUCAUGGAAGUUCCUGAGCACUUCCUGCAAGUGCUGAAGUCCCUCCACUCCCACUGAUUUCAUCUGGGCAUUGAAUGGGCUCAGCACAUUUUAGGAUUGGGCCCUGUAGAAGUAAUGGAUACCUAGGUAACUUAUUUCAGAGAGGUAGCCAUGUUGGUCUGUAUCAGCAAAAACAACGAGGAGUCCUUGUGGCACCUUAGAGACUAACAAAUUUAUUUGGGCAUGAACUUUCGUGACCUUAUGCCCAAAUAAAUUUGUUAGUCUCUAAGGUGCCACAAGGACUGCUUGUUGUUUUUUCUAGGUAACUUAGUGUUACCAAGUACACCAGGACAAAAAUGUCUCAUUGUUAUUCUGGUGUACAGCUUUGCCCUUGGAAGUUCCUUCUUAGGAAGUGUUGAUUUCCACUCUGUAAUUUCAGAUGGACUGAGGCAAGAGCUAGGGAGUCUGUAAGGCCAGGGAGAAGGAAGUUUUAGUGAUCUAUACAGGAGGUGAGCAGGGGUUGGAUGACUACAGUCUUAGAUAGUCUGUAAUGGCAGUCAGACAGGUCAGUGAUUGCCUGUCAGAAUAGGUGGAACUAAAGCCUAUUGCACUAUUUGUGGUGCACACCUGACAACAUUUUCCGGCUUCCCCCAGAGUUAAUCUUGAAGGGUUUAUAAAAUGCACCAGUUCCAAGUGUUCCUUUUUUUAGUUAAGGAUCUUCUCCAGGUUCCCCACCAGGACUUGUCAGCUCUUCCAGCACUAAUCAUCUUGCUCUGAGGGUGGCUAUUGGUCUUUUGGAGUCUUGCUGCAAUUAACUAGCUGAGUACAAAUGCUUGCCACAAAAGUCUGAAGCUGAAAUCACUUGAGGCCCUCUGUACCACUUAAAUCCCAUAUUGGGGACAGAGGGAGAGGCUCCAGUAGAAUGAAUUCAUAGAGGAUGCCUUCUGUGUGUUGUAGGAGUUAUUGCAUAGCUCUCUAGUGUGUUUGGGGGGAACACAGCAAGAGGAAUAUGUUGGCAGACCAUCAAUCCUAUCACAUGGAUCCAGUGGCCCUAAUAUCCUGUGCACAUGACUGAUGAAUCCUGCUAAUCUGUGCACUGAGCUGAGUUGAGAGUUUUCUUGGAGCACCACAGUGUCAAGUAAUCUACUGUAAUGACAAGAAUGGUCACCUAGAAGUAGACCCUAUGCAGUGCCAACGAUCUACAGGAUGGGGUACAUAAGCUGAGAGAGUUGAAACAGACCAAUUGUCCCCAUCCUUGCAUGAAUCCUUAAGCAUAGCCACUGAAAGAAGGAACUGAGACACAGCAAUAACUGGUAUUUGUUUCACAUUUAAUUGAAGGAGACCAGUCUAUAGACCUGUAUUAUAUCUUAAAUUUUUGUUAAUCCUUUUUCUAUCCAAAUUGUCUUAAGCAUGGAGUUAGCCUUGAUCCUGAGGCACAGAUUAUCCCGUAGUGGUAUGAGAAGAGAAUUUGUAAGACUUGAUGCUGUAAUAAUCUGAAUGCAUUGCAGAAUGCCCCAUGUAGAUGCAAAGACUGAGUAGCAUCUUAAGGUAUACACAAGAAGAGAGGGAACCAAAUGGCAUAGCUAAUUUUUCAAUCUCAAACCAGGCCGGUGUGUAUAUAGAGCCACUGGAAGGAACCCCCUUACAACAGGACACGUUUGGAAUGCUAGAUAAUAUUGAUACAGAUCUGGCAACCCCAUGUAACGUCCAGUUGUCCAAGAUUUUUUAAUGGCCUUGUGUGACAAGCAAGGCUGUUUUUUUAAUCUUAUAUAAAUGUCAUGAUACGCCUAUUUAUUCGAGCAAAGAAUGAGGGAAGAUACUUUGAAAGGCAAUAGCUUAAUGAUAUAAGUCAAUCUUGGGCCGAUACACAUUUUGGCUAUUUCUGUUCUCCCCAGUAAGAACAGAGGGAAGAGACACCAUCUCUCUACAUCCUUGGAAAUUUCUUGUAAUAUAUUAUUUGUAAUAUCUGUUAUUUAUAGAAACAAUUUUGGGAAGAUUAGGACAAAUGUUAACACCUAACUAAGUUAUUUCCUUGCAUAAUUGAAAUGGAAAAUGCUGAAACUGAGAAGGAUUUGGUCUUUUGGAUAUAUUCAUUGCUUGUGAUUUAUUCCAGUUAAUGCGAAAACCACAAAUCUUUCCAAAAAAUAUCAACCACAUUUAAUAAUAAUGGGAUUGAUGAGGAUGGAUUCUUCAAUAGUAUAAAAAUGUCAGCAUACAAACUGAUUUUGUGUUCUUUCCUGUUUAUAGUCAUAACAUCAGUGGCUGAGUGCUGACAUAUUUACAUUGCCUGUGGUUCAAGAGAGAGAUUAAAAAAGAGGGGCGAGAGGGGACAGUCCGGUCAUGUCCCUCUUCCUAAUUGAAAUUGGUAGAAAUAUUUCCAUUAAUUGAUAAUGAAGCAAGGGGAGAGAUGUAGAAUACACUGACCCAAUUCAGGAAUAUUGGUCCAAAUCCAUUUUUUAAGGACAGCCAUUAGAUGAGGCCAUUCAACCCUAUCAAAGGCCUUUUCUGCAUUUAGAGAUAAGGCUAGCGAGGGAACAUCUGAACUUGCUGGAUCAAGUGAAUGAUUUUUCUCGUGUUAUCAGAAGCCAAUCUUCCUUUAACAAAACCAGCCUGAUCUGCAUGUAUAAAUUGAUGGGAUGAUGGCAUUCAGUUGUGCCUCUAAAAUGUUUGCAAUUAUUUUGCAAUCUGUAUUCAACAGAGAUAUGGGGUGGAAAGCCACAGUUACAACCAUUUUUGUUCUUUAAUUUUAAAGUAAUUAAAACAGUUCUCAUGUCUGGAAACAUGGUUCCUUUUUGGAAUGUUUAAUUGAAGAUCUUUGGAAAAACAGAAGAUGGCUGAUUACAAAACGUUUUGUAGAAAUCUGGAAAGCCAUCCAUCCCAGAGGCCUUACUUGAAUUCAUAUUUUUAUAGCCUAUUCAGUUUCUUGUGUUGUGAAGUCCCUAAACAACACUCGUUCUGAAGUUAGGGUAUUAAAAGCUAGGCCUUCAAUGAAAUGUAUUAGUCAUAUUGAUUGAUUUAUAUAAAGGUUGAUAGAAUUGCUUAAAUUGAUUAUAUAUAUUGGUUCAAGGAUGGCACUCCUGUCUUCGUGUAACAAGGAAAAAGUAUUAUUGUUGCCUAGUUCCAUAUUAAGUCUUCUGGCAAGCAGUUUACCUGCCUUAUCUCUCCAUUCAUAAUGUCUUCGUUUGACCCUCUUGAGCGUAAAUUUGACUUGGCUGGAUAAGCAUUCACUAUAUUUAUAUUUGGCAUUGAUUAGAGAACGUUGAAGGUUUUCAUUAUUUGGGUCAGUCUUGUGUGUUCUCUGCACACAUCUAUUUCCUUGUCCAGAGAAUCUAGUAACUUGAGUCUCUCUUCUUUUGGGAGGCAUACUUUAUGCAUUCAUGCCUUACAGUAGCUUCCACAGCUUCCCAAAAGAUAACUGAGUGCUUAUUUUCUUGUAUGAAAGUAGAGAUGAUUGAAUCAACUGCAGAACAAAAUUUUGCCUUUUAGUAGCACACUGUUCAGGUUCUGUCCGGAAGAUUUUAAUGAUGUGUAACCAGUGUCAUUGGUAAGUAUAAUUGAAACAUGACCUCAAAUUAAUAUAUUAUCAGCAGUUUCUUCUAGUCAUGGUAGAAUCAGUUCUAAAGAUACAAGAAAAAAGUCAAUUCUGGAGUAAGAUGAAUGUACUGUAGAGAAAUAUAUACACUCAUACUCUUUGGGGUGUCCCAGUCUCCAUAUAUAUUUUAAAUCAAGUUAAUUCAUUAACAAUUAGGGUUGGCCUACUGUGCUCUGAAAGUUGGGUUUCAUGCAAUUGGAUUUGUCCAGAUGUCUAUCUAGCACAGCAUUCCAAUCUCCUCCCAGUAUUACAGGAAUGCCUUUUAUUAGAAAUGGGUCUUACAAACUCUUAUGGAGCUUGCUAAAUCCAUAGUGAAGGUGGAUUGAUACUUGAUGCUAUAUCUGCCUUUGGUCCCCUCAGGAUUUGCUUUAUGCCAUUGAAUGCAGCUCUCUUUUUGUUAAGCUCAGAUGAGAUGUCAAGAAAAAAAGAAAUUGUGUGUCUGCGUAAGGGUUUUGGCUUCUGGCAGUAUUCAUUAACAUUACUUUACCAUUGAAUUUCCGCAGCUUGAAGAUGAUGGAUCUGGGCUUAUCAGACUCCUGCCUUGUAGUACCAGCAUUCAGUGAGCCCUUUUGAUAUCUAAUGGGGGCAGCUGGUGAUCCAAUUUAAGUAUGUCAGGGCACAGCUUCUGAAGAAAGUAAUAUCCUUCUUCUCUAGGCCCUCAGUAAUGCCCAAGACGUGAAGGUUGUUUCUUUGAGAUCUAUUUUCCUACUGUAAGCUUAAGGAAACAGUUUCUUCUUUAAUUUCACUGUUUUUAAUGGCCAUCUUUUGUAGCUCAUUUUCUAACUAAGUCAUUUCAGCUUGUACAUCACAUUGCUCUUUAGAGAUUGAAUCCAGUCUUUCUGCAAGGAAGUCUUUCAGUGCUGCGAUAUCCUGGCCUAGGUUCUGCUGUGGCCUUGUGGUCUCCCCCUCCAGCUGCUUAGGUCUUUCGUUGCCUCUCAUUUUUUCAUUGGAAUCCAUAUUCAACAAUUUGAAGUUUAUCCAGGGAAUUAAUUUAAACUUUUAUAACAGGAACUUAUUGCCAAUUUCCUAGGAAAGUAAUUAUCAGAGAUGAGUAGUUGAUAUAUGGGGCGUGAGGAGGUCCGGGACUAAGCAGCUAUCUUCCUCACAGGUACCAGGUGACCCUACCCUGCACAUUUUAAGGGUCCUGCAUUAGCUUGUCUGGUCUCAGAAUCCCAGUCUCAAUGGAUCAUUACACAAAUAUCACCCGAUAACAAACACUGAUCUGGAAUUUUGCUUCUUUUAAAACUGCAUAAAUGUCCUAAUUAAAAGUUUCUUCCUUCUACCGCUAUAUGUGCAUACACAUCCCCACUUCUUGCUUACAGCCAAAGCACCAAGAUACUAUGCGAAAUGCUGUUCUUGCUGCAUUUCCAACCCCUAUAGCAACAUUUUCUCUGCAGUUUAUCCGAGUUGGGAGGAGAGGAGAAGAUGGUUUCUCAGCAUUGUGUUAUUUUGCUGCUGGACUACUACUUAAGAUUUUUUUUUAAGUAUCAGUCAGCUAACCAAAGUUAUUUCCUAUUUAAAGAUCAUGGAAGAGUUAAAACCAGCUAUGAAUAAAAUGAAAGGAAUUCAGUCUAAAAUACACUAGGAAUCACUGGCAAACUCAGUCCCUCCUUCUGGAAGCAGAAUGAAAGGAGAAACCAGAAAAGCAGGUUUCUUUGUUCUAAAUCCCACCUGAUUUUCCUGCCUAUUGACACACCUCUGAUUAGAUCAGUCUACAGAGAGAGAUAUUUUUAUAAAAGUGUCUCAGUGCUUGUUGACACUGGGCUCAUUUCUCUUUAAAAACUCUGUGUCAUUGUCAUGUAAUCCUGCUCUGAACAGGGUUAGAUAACAUGGUGUUUAAGGUACUGGUGGGCACCUAGAGCAUUGUUCAGCCUUGUUCAGGCUCUAGGGCUCAGACUGGUGCACAGUUGAUAGCAUUGGUGGAAAAUUCUUGACCCCCCCCCCCCCCC
Long non-coding RNA from Chelonia mydas (Green sea turtle), 6018 nucleotides. RefSeq lists it as uncharacterized. The record is from RefSeq and is a predicted model, not a curated record. NCBI's taxonomy places the organism in Eukaryota, Metazoa, Chordata, Testudines, Cheloniidae. The transcript has 3 exons.